Molecule: long non-coding RNA, 5347 nt
Organism: Marmota monax (woodchuck)
Lineage: Eukaryota; Metazoa; Chordata; Mammalia; Rodentia; Sciuridae
Exons: 3
Source: RefSeq, a predicted model, not a curated record
UUUUGUUUAGUUCAGAAAAAGCCAUUUUUCUCUUUUAUACUUGACUGUUUCUUUCUGAUUAUUCCAAGGUUAUUACCUAGAUGGAAAAAUUAAUUUUCAUCUUUCUCCUUUCUCAGACUCUUAAUUGGGUAGAGUUGAAUUUAUUUGUGGAAAACUGUGUCUUUUAACAUUGGUUCUUAGAGUUUAUUUUCUUUUUUGGUUAUCAUUUUCUUUAAAUUUUCAGCUAAUAUUUUUAUUAUCUAAAAUUAAUAAAAUUCUUACCUUUUCAAUAUAUAAAGUAGAAUAAAAGCUGAUGGGAAAAGGUGAUAAAAUGCUCAACCUUUUUCUUUUUCUAUUUCUGGUGUUGGGGAUGAAACCCAAGGCUUUGCAUGUGGUCGGCAGGCACUCUAUCUCCGAGCUACAUCCCAGCCCUUUAUUUUAUAAAGUUGUAUGUUUGGGAUGGGGUCUUGCUGAGUUACCUAGGCUGGGCUUGGAUUUACAGUCCUCUUGCCUUGGUCUCUUGAGUAGCUGAGAUUACAGGUGUGCGCCAACACACUCAGCCUUAAAUUCUGAACUUUAAAUAUAUCUCUUCUUUGUAUUUUUGUUGCAUUUUCCUUUUUUAAAUUUGUAUCUAUUAUUUGCAGUUUGGACUUUGAUAUGUCAGUAGAUCAAGAAGAAAACAACAAUCUCUAAUUGCCUCUUGCCACCCAGCCCUGUGCAUCACAAAGCCAGAUUAACCUCAGAUGAAUGUGUAACUUGAACAGGAUUGGAAUUUAAGUGAUUGUGGCUACCUAGCAGCAAACUUAUUCAGUGCAGAGCCAGGUAACAGAUAUUUUAGGCUACAUGGGCUAAGAGACAGAAUUAAUAUUUUGUAGUUGUUUGUGUAUAUUUACAUAUUUAUACUAAGAAACAAUAAAUAUCCCCAGUUUUUAUUGCCAAAAUUCAAAACAUAAUAGUAAUUAGGGAGCACAAUAUUUUGUAAUAAAAGUGUAUGAGAAAACAGAAUUGUGUUUGGAGAGAAUUUUACUUAUUUGGGGUUCUAAGUGUUCACUGAUAAUCAGAAUUGUUUAUAAAUAUUAUCUGUUAAUGAUGAUAUUUAGUGAGAUUUUAAAUAUUUUAUAUGAAAUUAUUUUUUCACAAAGGUAUGUAUUGGCAAAUAUGAUUGUAGUACAUGAGCUUCUGAUUUCAAUUGAAUGUGUUUAGGAAAUUUUUAUAAAAUUCCAUUAUGUUAUUUUCUUGAUAUCUGUCUCUUGUUUUAUUAUAUUGCACAUAUACUUGAUCAUUUUCAGUUGAAGUGAAUUCUCAUUAAUUAUAGUUAAAUAGAUUGUGGAACAUGGAGAUUUCCUUUACACUUGCAUCAUAGUCAGAAAAAAAAUUGCAGGAACUGUGGCUUGAACUCAGAAAAGAAACUCCUAGAAGUGCAUGUGGCAGUUGAGAGUUUCUUGCUUUCUCUUUUGACAGCAUGGGAACUGUUUAGUACAGCUCGAUAUUACUUUGUGACAUUGGUGUAAGUUUUGCAUAUAAGCACCAUUUUGCCUUGUCAUUUAAAGUUGAAUUUAUGAAGAAACAUUAUUAAGUCUAUAACAUAAGUUAAUUUCCAAAGCCAUUUAGGGUUUGAUAAAAGUGAUUGAAAGAAAAUUUUGUCUUGAUCCUAAGUGUAAAAAACCACAACAAAGCUUUAUCAUUGUUAAUAUAUCACUGCUAUGUUUCAGGAAAAUCAGUGUAUUAUAAUUAAGCUUCUAUUUCUGUCAAAACUUUGUAAAAUGAACAAUAUACAAGUCCUUAUGGACAAAUGAAGUCUUACCGUUUGCACUGUUGGUUCGAACCACAUGAUAUGGUUAAGUAUUUUGCAGAGUGUUUGCUGAUAAAUAAUGGAAUGAGUAACUGUAGCCUUUAAAUUUUCAGUAGGCUUAUAUUUUUGCAUGCUUUGUAAAUUUAUUCAAGUAAGCUUCCUUUUGCUUUUUUUUUAAACCAACAUGAAAUGAAACAAAUCUUAGCAGAUUCCACAUAAUUUGUACCAAAUUACUGUUUUCUCAGUUUCCUUGAAAAAUUCUUAUGUUCUCUGUAAACGAUCUAUGUUAAUCAGCUGUUCAUUACUGGUAGAAUACCUGAGAAAAACUUUGGCUCAUGGCUUCAGAUGUCUCUGUCCAUGGUAGCCAGCUCCAUUGCUCUGUCCCUGAGAUGAGGCACAGCUUCUUGAUGGGGACCCUGUGUUGGAGGAAACUGCUCACCUCGUGGCAGCCAGUAAGAUGAAAGACAGAUAGAUAAAAUGGGGACAAUAUAUGGUCCCCAGGGGCAUACCUUCCAAGACCCACUUCCUCUAUAUGAAGUCCAUCUCCCAGUCAUCCAUUCAGCUGCGGAUCCCUCAGUGGAUUAAUUCAUUGACGAGUUCAGAGCCCUCAUGGUCCAGUCCUGAAGCUCCACCUAUGAACAUGACUGCAUCAAGGACCAAGCUUUCAACACAAGAGCCUUUGGGGGACAUUCCAAAUCUAAAUGAUCAUAGAGGCUAUUUUUUAAGUCACGUUCUUAACUUUUUGAGCAACUGUUUUGCUGAAAGACUAAUAGUUUUAAACUCAUUUGUUUUCCUUGGACACAUUCCUUUGGUUAUUGCAGUCAAUCAUGAUUUGGUUACCUCAUUGGUAAACAGUUUUAAUUUUGUGACUAACAUACUAUUGAGGAACACAUUUUUAUUUUUGAAAAGAAAUUCUUCUGGAAUGAGAUGUUCCACUUUGAGUGUUCUAAUUUUAUGACUGCUGGGUGCUUCAUCUGGAAAUGUCACACAUUGUGUUCUUUGAGCAUAGCUGUAGUGUCAUUAUAGCAUGAUAGUAACAGUGCAUUGCUCUUUAAUUCAGGAGAAUAGUCUCCACUGUGGAGUACCUAUACGGCUCCCAUGACAUACAGGUGGUGACCCCAGCAAGGAGGAUUGGCCACAGGUUCAGUGAUUGGGCACUUGUGCCGCAAGCUCAAGGCCUUGUGUUAGGUCUUCAGUGCUGCCAAAAAAAGAAUGAAAAUGUAGAAAAUAUGAAUGAAAUAAUAUCAUGACAGACAAAUGAAAAGAUGGUGUGAAAGAGGGAGUAUUGUAUAGUAUCCAACCCUUCAAGAAGUGUGUCAAUAAUUGGAUAAUAAAAACAGUUGUUUGUGUUUGUUAACUUGGAAAAGCCAUGGAUCACUAGAGCAAGAGUAAUUUUGGGAUGUGGUGGGAGGUUAGAAUGUAGAAACAUAGUGUGCAUGUAAUUCUCUCUUUCCAAAGUUUGAAGGCAAGUGCAGGUAAGGGAAUGGUAGCCGAGGAAUCUGGUUUCCAGCCAAACUUUUGUGACCAUGCAGACCCAAGCCAGAGGCAGUUGCACACAGUUCUGACUCAUACUUCUUCGCCUUGUGAUUUCUUGACUCUUGGGAUGGUCAAAAGCACCUCACAUAUGUAGGAACCAUACGCUGAACUUUGAGUAGACUGUUUCCCAGGUCAGCAGUCUGCUGUAGGAGACCCUCUCGCACCUGGGCUGUAGCAGUGAGCGGGCAGCGCCCAGUGAGCUGCAUGGUACUGUACGUUACCUGUAUUAAAAGCAUUUUUUUUUGGGGGGGGGUACUGAGGAUUGAACUCUGAGUCACUCGACCACUGAGCCACAUCCCCAGUCCUGUAUUUUAUUUAGAGACAGUGUCUUAAUGAGUUGCUUAGUGCUUCACUUUUGCUGAGGCUGGCUUUGAACUCACAAUUCUCCUGUCUUAGGCCUCCCAGAGCUGCUGGGAUUAUAGGCAUGCGCCAUCGUGUCCAGCUUAAGAGCGUUUUUGUCUAAUGAUGUUUCAAACUUAAAAUGGGCUUACAAGGAGAGAACCACACUGCACAUUCAUUGAAGCAUUCUGCAUGAGGUUCUGCCUGUCCCGUCUCAUAGGAUAAAGCUGCCCCUCCUCACACCAAACUACCAAGAGCACAGCUCGUGCUUUGCAGUUUUUACAGGGAGUUGCAGCCAUAGAAUGCCACACACUCCCACCUGUUUGCAUGCAUGUCUGCAUUCCUAAAUGUCUCCCCUCAAAGGCCGCCUCCUCUGGGGCUGAGGCACUUUUCUUUACUUUGAUUCAGUACUUUUCCAUUCCUGAUCUUUUCCCCUCAAAGGCAGGAGUGACCUGAGUCUUCCCACCCACUCCUGCCCUACACUGCAUCUACUUGACUAUUGCCCAGGUUGUUCUGAGAGGAAAAUGGAACAAGUGAGUGAAUAAAGGCAUGAUUGCUACUUCCACGUCAACUGGUUCUGCUUGUCCACCUUCACCCUGGACCACUUGAGUGUUUCUCAGUGGCUCUGGGGUUUGUUGGGGAAGGAACAGGUGGCUGAAGCAUUGAAGUCUUAGAGGUCUCCAGAGGAGCUAAUCCAGGGCCCAGGUGGUAGUGCUCGCCUUUGCAUCUUUUUCUUUGAGUAUUCUUGGAGUCUGCUGCCUACUGCUUUCACACUUUCCAUCCUCAAAGUAACUUACCCCCUGAAAUUUGAAUUCUAACAAUUCAUAAUAGUUAAUCAGACUGUUUACUUCUCUGCUUUGCGGGAUAAGAAUAUGAAUCCUUUUAGGGCAGGAAUGAACAUUUGUCCCUGUUCAUCAUUGCCCCCAGCGUAAUGUCAGGUUUGUUGUAGAUGCAAGCAUGUGAAUUAGUGGGUAAAGUAAUGGAGAAAUCAAUUUCAGUUUGGCAUUAUGGCAGACCAGAAUAUGCCACCCCAAAAUAGGAGAUGGUUGAGUUGAAGACAGUUCAGAGAACCCAGUGCAGGAAUAUUUUCUGUCCUUCCACUGCUUACCUUAAAGCAGGACCUGGGUUUACAAAGACCUACCAGGGAGAGCUCAGGUUCACCACUAGAGACAACUUUGGACCUUAUGGAUCUUAGAUGGUACCAGAGGAAUUGACUUAACAGACUCCAUCAGCUAGCCUUUAUCUGCCAUUUAUUUACCUCCUACCAAGUUGCCACCCCUAGAGCCUCCCAAGUCCUUUUCCUUUGUAUUGUCAGUUCUCUGUAAUUUACUGGUUUUUGAAGAUACUCUGUAAACUAGGAUUCAAAAUCAUCUCUUUGAGAACUACCUAUUCCUUGGGUGUCUUCCACAUAUGUGUGAAACCUAUAUGUUAAUAAACUUAUGUAUUUCUAUUGUUCAUGUUUCUUUUGUUACAGGAGUCCAUUUCAACUAAGAACCAGUAAACGUUAAAGAAAAAAAAAACAACGUUUUUUUUCCCCUUAUAACAUAAAGAAGAUAUUUUUAGACGAAACAGGACUGAAGCCAAAGCAAAGUCCCGCCUGCCCUAUGCGCAUGUUCCAGCUACACAUGCACAUCUACUAUUCCAAAGUUGUAGUUAAGGAAGAACUACUGUGUGACAGUAUAGCCAUGGGGGAAGUUGGAG